This 619-nucleotide ribosomal RNA is filed under the name Neisseriaceae bacterium Se2Ps_2215. RNAcentral's name for it is "bacterial SSU rRNA". It matches the Rfam family "Bacterial small subunit ribosomal RNA", at positions 391 to 1003 of the family's 1533-position model. Lineage: Bacteria; Pseudomonadati; Pseudomonadota; Betaproteobacteria; Neisseriales; Neisseriaceae. The record is from RNAcentral.
GCCAUGCCGCGUGUCUGAAGAAGGCCUUCGGGUUGUAAAGGACUUUUGUCAGGGAGCAAAUCCUGCUUGUGAAUAAUGAGUGGGGAUGAGAGUACCUGAAGAAUAAGCACCGGCUAACUACGUGCCAGCAGCCGCGGUAAUACGUAGGGUGCAAGCGUUAAUCGGAAUUACUGGGCGUAAAGCGUGCGCAGGCGGUUCUGCAAGUCUGAUGUGAAAGCCCCGGGCUUAACCUGGGAACGGCAUUGGAGACUGCAGAGCUAGAGUACGUCAGAGGGGGGUAGAAUUCCACGUGUAGCAGUGAAAUGCGUAGAGAUGUGGAGGAAUACCGAUGGCGAAGGCAGCCCCCUGGGAUGAUACUGACGCUCAUGCACGAAAGCGUGGGGAGCAAACAGGAUUAGAUACCCUGGUAGUCCACGCCCUAAACGAUGUCAAUUAGCUGUUGGGGGUUUGAAUCCUUGGUAGCGAAGCUAACGCGUGAAAUUGACCGCCUGGGGAGUACGGCCGCAAGGUUAAAACUCAAAGGAAUUGACGGGGACCCGCACAAGCGGUGGAUGAUGUGGAUUAAUUCGAUGCAACGCGAAAAACCUUACCUGCUCUUGACAUGUCCGGAAUCCUUGAG